UGAGUACGAGAUGCUACGGCAUCGAAGCAGUCUAUGUCAUACUUCCAAGAAAAGCUUGCACUGCCAUAAACAAAGAAUGCCUGUACCAUAACCGACACAGGUGGGUAGGUAGAGUAUACUAAGGGGCGCGAGAUAACUCUCUCUAAGGAACUCGGCAAAAUGACUCCGUAACUUCGGGAGAAGGAGUGCCUUAUUUCUAAGGUUGCAAUAACAAGAUCCAAGCAACUGUUUACCAAAAACACAGGUCUCCGCUAAGUCGUAAGACGAUGUAUGGGGGCUGACGCCUGCCCAGUGCCAGAAGGUUAAAGAAGUUGGAUAGCAUUAGCGAAGCUGAUAACUGAAGCCCCGGUGAACGGCGGCCGUAACAAUAACGGUCCUAAGGUAGCGAAAUUCCUUGUCGGGUAAGUUCCGACCCGCACGAAAGGCGUAAUGAUUUGGAUACUGUCUCGGAGAGGGGCUCGGUGAAAUAGACUUGUCUGUGAAGAUGCGGACUACCUGCACCUGGACAGAAAGACCCUAUGAAGCUUUACUGUAACUUGAGAUUGAAAUUGGACUUUAUUUGCGCAGUAUAGGUGGGAGGCGUUGAGAAUAAUCUUGCGGGAUUGUUGGAGCCAUCAGUGAGAUACCACUCUUGUAAUGUUAGAUUUCUAACUUUGUAUCAUUAUCUGGUCAAAGAACAGUUUCAGGCGGGCAGUUUGACUGGGGCGGUCGCCUCCCAAAGGGUAACGGAGGCGCACAAAGGUUUCCUCUGAACGGGUAGAAAUCGUAUCUAGAGUGUAAAGGCAUAAGGAAGCUUGACUGUGAGACCUACAAGUCGAGCAGGGACGAAAGUCGGUCUUAGUGAUCUGACGGUGCUGAGUGGAAAGGCCGUCACUCAACGGAUAAAAGUUACUCUAGGAUAACAGGCUGAUCUCCCCCAAGAGUUCACAUCGACGGGGAGGUUUGGCACCUCGAUGUCGGCUCAUCGCAUCCUGGGGCGGUAGUCCGUCCCAAGGGUUGGGCUGUUCGCCCAUGAAAGCGGUACGCGAGCUGGGUUCAGAACGUCGUGAGACAGUUCGGUCCAUAUCCGGUGUAGGCGUUAGAAUAUUGAGAGGAGCCUUCUCUAGUACGAGAGGACCGAGAAGGACAUACCUCUGGUGUACCAGUUAUCGUGCCAACGGUAAACGCUGGGUAGCUAUGUAUGGAGUGGAUAACCGCUGAAAGCAUCUAAGUGGGAAGCCCACCUCAAGAUAAGUAUUCUC
Molecule: ribosomal RNA, 1241 nt
Filed under: metagenome
Description: bacterial LSU rRNA
Rfam family: Bacterial large subunit ribosomal RNA
Source: RNAcentral